CUCAGUUCUAAGCUGGGCAUGGGUACAUGCCUGUAAUAGCAGCACCUGGGAGGCUGAGGCAGGAGGA
This 67-nucleotide microRNA precursor is filed under the name Cricetulus griseus (Chinese hamster). Its description in RNAcentral is "miRNA (ENSCGRG00001004135.1)". Lineage: Eukaryota; Metazoa; Chordata; Mammalia; Rodentia; Cricetidae. The record is from RNAcentral.